GCUGGGCGUGGUGGUGCGCGCCUGUAAUCCCAGAUACUCAGGAGGCUGAGGCAGGAGAAUCACUUGAACCCGGGAGGUGGAGACUGCAGUGAGCCAAGAUCAGGCUACUACACUCCUGCCUGGGUGAGAGAGUGAGACUCUGUCUCAA
This 148-nucleotide non-coding RNA is filed under the name Nomascus leucogenys (northern white-cheeked gibbon). Lineage: Eukaryota; Metazoa; Chordata; Mammalia; Primates; Hylobatidae. The record is from Rfam by way of RNAcentral.